GGAGGGUUGCCGGAGUGGUUAACGGAGCAGUUUGCUAAACUGUCGACCCGCAAGGGUCGCGUGGGUUCGAAUCCCACACCCUCCGCAA
RNAcentral lists this transfer RNA (88 nucleotides) under Chryseobacterium koreense CCUG 49689. Its description in RNAcentral is "tRNA-Ser". It matches the Rfam family "tRNA". Rfam says of the family: Transfer RNA (tRNA) molecules are approximately 80 nucleotides in length. Their secondary structure includes four short double-helical elements and three loops (D, anti-codon, and T loops). Further hydrogen bonds mediate the characteristic L-shaped molecular structure. tRNAs have two regions of fundamental functional importance: the anti-codon, which is responsible for specific mRNA codon recognition, and the 3' end, to which the tRNAs corresponding amino acid is attached (by aminoacyl-tRNA synthetases). tRNAs cope with the degeneracy of the genetic code in two manners: having more than one tRNA (with a specific anti-codon) for a particular amino acid; and 'wobble' base-pairing, i.e. permitting non-standard base-pairing at the 3rd anti-codon position. RNAcentral also lists the same sequence under 2 other names. The record is from RNAcentral. Lineage: Bacteria; Pseudomonadati; Bacteroidota; Flavobacteriia; Flavobacteriales; Weeksellaceae.